Molecule: ribosomal RNA, 253 nt
Filed under: uncultured bacterium
Lineage: Bacteria
Description: partial 16S ribosomal RNA
Rfam family: Bacterial small subunit ribosomal RNA
Source: RNAcentral
UACGGGGGGGGCAAGCGUUGUUCGGAAUUACUGGGCGUAAAGGGCUCGUAGGCGGCCAACUAAGUCAGACGUGAAAUCCCCAGGCUCAACCUGGGAACUGCGUCUGAUACUGGAUGGCUUGAAUUCGGGAGAGGGAUGCAGAAUUCCAGGUGUAGCGGUGAAAUGCGUAGAUAUCGAGAGGAACCCCUGCGGCGAAGGCGGGUAGCUGGGCCGACACUGACGCUGAUGCGCGAAAGCCAGGGGAGCGAACGGG